UACGUAGGGGGCUAGCGUUGUCCGGAUUUAUUGGGCGUAAAGAGCGUGUAGGCGGCCAGGCAGGUCUGCUGUGAAAACUCGAGGCUCAACCUCGAGACGUCGGCGGAAACCAUCUGGCUAGAGUCCGGAAGAGGAGAGUGGAAUUCCUGGUGUGGCGGUGAAAUGCGCAGAUAUCAGGAAGAACACCCGUGGCUAAGGCGGUUCUCUAGUACGGUACUGACGCUGAGACGCGAAAGCGUGGGGAGCGAACAGG
Molecule: ribosomal RNA, 253 nt
Filed under: uncultured bacterium
Lineage: Bacteria
Description: partial 16S ribosomal RNA
Rfam family: Bacterial small subunit ribosomal RNA
Source: RNAcentral